Molecule: long non-coding RNA, 5694 nt
Filed under: Sus scrofa (pig)
Lineage: Eukaryota; Metazoa; Chordata; Mammalia; Artiodactyla; Suidae
Description: lncRNA (ENSSSCG00040067703.1, ENSSSCG00060023994.1)
Source: RNAcentral
CACACGUGCGGCAUGUGUUAGUUCCCAGGCUAGGGAUCCAGUUGGAGCUGCAGCUGCCAGCCUGCCAGCCUACUCCACAGCCACAGCAACACAGGAUCCGAGCUGUGUCUGUGAUCUGCAUCACAGCUCUCGGCAACACCAGAUCCUUAACCCGCUGAGCAAAGCUAGGGAUUGAACCUGCAUCCUCAUGGAUACUAAUCAGAUUUGUUUCCUCUGAGCCACGACAGGAACUCCCCAUUUAUUCAAAUUUUAUUUUAUGUUUCUUCAGAAAAUUCGGUAAUUUUGAAGAAAAUAUAGGCCUUACAUUUUUCUUGUUAAAACUGUCCUUAGCAUUUGAAGAUAUUUAUUUUUAAUUAUUGCCAAUAAACUCUUUUUUCAUAUUUUUAAUUUCUAACUGGUUAUUGAGGUUUCCUCAAUAGAAAAGUAAAGCACAACCCACAGGGAUAACAUUAAUAGACCAUUAAAAAAAGAAUAAGAAGAAACACUUACUGCCAUUUAGGAAACAUAUUCUCUGCUGGAAGUUGCCUGCUGUAGAAUCAAAGAGUUAUGAUAUUAUACACCACCCAUCAAACCCAGAGAAUUUAAGGCUAUGUUCUCAUUCAACAGUCAUCAUUCUCAGAUGAGAAAGAAACCAUUUAUCAAGACACAGGAAGAAAGAAGUAGCUAUCACACAAGUCAAAGCACUGGGACAAAAACAAUGAUUCUGAUUAAAUUUUCAAAAGAAAUUUUCACAGUCUGCAAUUGUGUUUGGCAAGUUUAAAUCCCAAAUGAAAUUCCAGAGGAGAUGUUAUAUGCCCUUGAAAAGCAAGUUUACAAUGAAAAUGCUGACAGACCUUUGGAGAGAAGAUUGUAGUAUUGUGAGCACCUCUAUUAUCACUUCUGUGUAAGUAAUAAUAUCUGUAUACAUAGGCAGUUUAUAUAAGCAGAUAAAAGUUUCUGAAGAUCACUGUCUUAUCUUUUUCAAUGUCCACUGUCUCCUUUAAAGCUACUAUUAGGAUAUACUCAAUCUACAUAGCCUUUCAAUUAUUUAAGCAAUAAAUCAUAUUUUCAAUAUUUUAUACCACAAAAUGUUUUCUUCUAACUCAUUAAUUAUAACUAAUGCCUAUGAUGUCUGGGAGCAAACAUAUCAGCUACUUUUUUCUAAAGACUAAGGUGGACUCAGUGAAUCUAAAAUCCACAGAAGCCUUUGAAAAUUUAUGAAAGUCAUCACCCACAAAUUCCAAUUUUCUAGUAUAGAAAACGGCUAAAUUUUUUGGAAAUCAAUAUAAGGCAAAAUAAGAAUUCUGGUUAACUACAAUCUGAAGUCAUAUACAAGAGACUAGUAAAGGAAUAAGUUCAUCCUACUUUUCUAAAUCAUUAAUCAGUUUGUUCUGGUCAUCUGUGAUCUCUACCAGCUACUACAAAAAUCACUAAGAUUAAAAGCAAAUAGGUGGAUAUACAAAAUGAAAUAGAAACGAAAAACAGGAGCAUCCUGUUGCUCAAAAAAAUAAGUAAAUGUUAAAACAAAAAAGGAAACAAAUUUUAAAAAAAAAGUGAAUAAUCUCCUAAUCAUCAAAGCUGGAACAAUUUGAGCCACAAAAAAAGUAGUAUUGGACUAUAACUCAAAAGAUAAAAUAAAGAUCCAUGAGUCCGUACAGAUACAAUGAAUGAGUGAAUAAAUAAACAAAUGAGGGAGAAAAGACAAAUAUCCUAUGGAGUAUCGCAAAUAUUCAAGGAGGUAGAGUCUAGUCAUUAAAUGUAGGCAGUACAUAAUGAUUUCUUUGCAGAGAAUAUACUGUAGAAAGGUGGGAAAGAGUAAGUUUACAGUGGAGAAUCCCAACAGACACUAUCUGAGUCAAGUGAUUCAAGGCCAAUAUCAAAAAUAAGUCUUGUUGAUAAUGUGUACCUGUGAUAAUUUGUGGAAAAUUCUGAUUUGCCUCUGUGGUCUUCCUCCCACACAUCAUCAUAAUCAUGAGGAACACAUAAUACACAUUCCAGUAGAAGCCCAUUCUACAAAAUACAUGACCUGUACCCCUCAAAACUGUCCAACUCCUCAAAAAAACAAACAAACAAAAAAAUCUGAGAAACUGUCAACGCUAAGAGGAGUCUGGGGAGACAUGACAAGCAGCUGUAAUAUGGUAAUCCUGGAACAGAAAAAAAUGACAUCAAGUAAAAACUAAGGAAUUUUUCUGUAAACCUAAAACUGUUCUAAAAAUAGCCUAUUGUUUUGUUAUUUUAUUUUAUUUUAUUUUUUUGUCUUUCAGGGCUGCACUCACGGCAUAUGUAGGUUCCCAGGCUAGGAGUCGAAUCGAACUGUAGCCUCUGGCCUACGCCACAGCCACAGCAACACCAUAUCCAAGCUGUGUCUGCGACCCACACCACAGCUCAUGGCAACCCACUGAGUGAGGUCAGGGAUUGAACCCACAUCCUCAUGGUUGCAAGUUGGGCUCGUUAACCACUGAGCCACAAUGGGAACUUCGUUAUUAUAUUUUAUAAAACUGUAUUCAAGUGAGGAAAAUUAGGAGAUUAUAGUGAAGAAAGAGGAAAAAAAAUGACCUCUUGAACCUCUUGGAGGAAAAUGGGUAUAAAGACAAUUCUAGACAAGCUUUUCCCAACAUCAAAUCCACUUCAAGUAAAUGACAAUGUCAUAACAUAGCUCAUUACAAUAGGAAUUUAUAUAUCAUAAGUCAAGUCAUAGCUUCAAAAACACCUAUACACAGUAAAAUCUUGAUGUAGCUAGUUCUUCCCCCAUCACCACUGAUGUAAAGAGAAGUCACUCUAUUCCAAAUUAGUCCAAAGACUGUUCACUUUCCUAAAUGGGAUGCCAAAAAAGGGAUCAGAGAGCUGAAUAGAGGUUUGUCUUAGAGUAUGUGCUAUCAAGCAUGGAUUUUAAUCACAGGAUUUCUGAGCUCAAAGGACAAAGAAUUGGGAACAGAGGAAUGACAUGACUUGAGUGGUAAAUCGCUCUGGCUAUACUGAAAAGAAGAAUGCAUUGGGAGGUUGGGGAACAAGACUGAAGACAAUGAUAGAAGAUGACAGAUGAUGACAGUCUGAAUUGUGGGAUUGUAUCAAGAAAGUAGAAAGCAAAAGGAUAGAUUAGAAAAUAUUGGCAAAAUAUGUUUGUUACUCAAAAACAGGGAAGGAGAAAAAGUGCUUUUGAGCAUAUUUUUAAGCAUAUUUUAAAGUAUAUUUUGAAGAUAGAGAUGAAGAAAGUUGAGGGCAUUCAUGCUUGAUAACCUUAAUUUUCUUGGUGAAAUUAGAAGGCCUAAUCAUCUACUGUGAGGAAGACAUAGCUGGAGACUGCUAUUGAGAGGAAUGGAAAAAGAUGCUUACUGUGGAGUGAUAAAAAGACUGUCUUCUAAAAGAAAUGCUAAGAACUCAGCUAAAUUUGGAAAUGUUAAAUUGUAGUAUAGUCAACUCAUAGAACACCAGGAAGGUUAAACGUGUUACGCAAAUGACAUUAGGAUGUCAGGAGACCUGUCCAUGGGGGAGUUUAGUGACAGGUGGCCAGAAACCUGCCCCCAAGUAGAUAGAAUACCAAGAAGGCCAUCUAGGGAUGAGGAGAGCUAGCCCAAUGUUCAUUCACAAUACAGGUUCAUACGAUCCAAAUCUAUCAGUUAGGGGACCUAACAUCUAAACUGAAAUAAUACAGAAGAGAAAGUGUUUCCUUUGCACCUAAUGUUGAGCCAAAAUUUAAACCAUGAAUAGUAUUUUUCGGCUGAGGAAUGGAUGAUUUCGUGAUAAGAACAAAGAAAAGAUCAUUUAAACUUUUUAUUUUGGAGUGAGUGAGGAGGCCUGGAAUAUUUACACCAUUAUCUGGCAAAGGGAUGUUUUGAAUAGAAAGACAUCCACAUGAAAGAAGGGGGAAAAAUGUCCAAAUAAUCCCUACCAAAUGCUGAAAUCACACCCCACCCUUAUAUAUAAAUUAUUUUAAUAAAAGCAUACAUUAAAAUGAAAUUCUAGAAACUUGAUCAACCAAACAAACAUAUUCCUUGCUGAACUAGCUUGUCAAAUCUAAGGAUCCCAACAGAAGGAAGCUAUUCAAUCAAGAAAAGGAAGGGGAAAGGUCAAAUUAAAUUUGAUUAAGUGUUUUAUGCAGUAUAAAAUUAUUAUUUUGCCAAUAUUACUUUGUAGUUAAAGUUUUAUAGACGUUAUAGCAGCCAAAAAAGUUGCAAAUCUAAUUUAACGCUUCUCCCCAAAAUGUCAUCAAUAAAGUCAACAAUAAAAAACCAAAGACACAUUAAAAGGAGUCAUGUGAAAGACAAUAUUCUUUAGCAAAGUAAAAUUCAACAACAGAUGUGAUUUCAAGGAAUGUAGAUGCUAUGAAAACCAAUUUUUGGAUAAAGCUUAAUUCUAUGGUCUAUUAUGGAAGUAAAAUGCUCCAGAGUAGUGGAAAUUUGUGAGCCAGGGAAAUCACAAGUUAAUAUGGGUUUUGACCCAGUCCCACCUGAAAAUAACAGAACAGAUAUGGAACAGAAUUAAAUAUAUGAAUCACAUAUCAAAUUAUAAAAAUGAUUAGCCCAAAUAACAUGGAGAACAUUCUCUAAGAUUCAAUGUUGUUUGCUAAGAGUAUCUACUGGAAAGGAAAUCAUUUUGGGGAGAGCUAGUUUCCAUAUACCCAGAGCUAGUAAGAAUUAUAAGGAUAUUACUGGAGCUUGGUUUGGUAGUUAUAUAUUUCUUAGGUAACACAUCAGGAUUCCUGCAGAACAUCUUAUGCCCAACAACUACAGAAUAUAUAUACUAGAAUACUUAGAAUAUUACAUAUUCUAACAAUGAAAGCUACCUAGAACCUUCAUUUGGUUUUUCCCAUUCAUGUGUAAAUAAGAACCUUGGAAUAUUGUUGUGGAUAAGUGUAUUCUACAUGCAAUGGGCCCUUCCCCACAGAACUAUUUCUACUUCGGAAAUUAAAGAAAAAAAAAAAAAACUUUGUUAACAGAAUAGGAUUUUCAUAGCCAUCUAUCAAUUUUGAAACAUAAUUGUAAAGCUGGCACGGCAGACAGUGCAAUGACUUUAUGUAAUUUAGUUGCUGCUCUUGAAUCUCGACCUAUUCAAGAUACAGUGAUGUGGGGCAUCACCCCUCUGCAGCUCAAACCCCAGUGGGCCAGAUUACAGCAUGGGGAGUCAUUUUCUCUAAAUCCUAGAGGCAGUCAUUAUAUAAGAGAUGUCUCUCUAAAUUCCAGAAUUCACAGAAUUGUAAGAAUCAUGCAUAUAUUCUAUCAGUCAACAUGAAGUAGAGGUGAUUUUUACCUACAGUAAAUAUUGCAGGAAAGAUGACAAAUUCACCUUAAAAUAGCAAUCUAGUUACUUCUUUCUUUCAAAAAUUGUUUCUUUCUACUUAUGUAUCAAAUUUCACCAAUGUUUAAUAAAAUUCACAGUAUAUAUGACCAUUUAAAAUGUUAUAGAGAUAUUGUAUAUCCCAAAUUUUCAUUAACUUGACCAAGUUCACAAAGCAGUUAAGUGUUGAAAUCAGGAUUGAAAUCUGGGGCUUUCUAACUACAAAGUCUCAGUUCUUUCCAUUAUAUCACUAACAUGAUCCUUGUAUGAUUUCUAGAAAUAUUAUGGAACUCUUUUGGUAUUCUGAAACUCAAUUUCCAAUAGGGAGAGGGGAACACCAGCUGGGUACCCUAGAAUUUAAGUCAAUUCUGACACUACCUACUCAGAGAGAGGAUCAGAUUCCCCACAGGUAAAGGGAUCAGCCCCACAAGAUUGUUCCCC